AGGGGUGUAGCUCCAUGUUAGAGCACUUGCCUAGCACGCAUGAGGUGCUGGGUUCAAUCUCCAGUACUGCAA
This 72-nucleotide transfer RNA is filed under the name Ictidomys tridecemlineatus (thirteen-lined ground squirrel). Its description in RNAcentral is "Spermophilus tridecemlineatus (thirteen-lined ground squirrel) tRNA". It matches the Rfam family "tRNA". From Rfam's summary of the family: Transfer RNA (tRNA) molecules are approximately 80 nucleotides in length. Their secondary structure includes four short double-helical elements and three loops (D, anti-codon, and T loops). The record is from Rfam by way of RNAcentral. Lineage: Eukaryota; Metazoa; Chordata; Mammalia; Rodentia; Sciuridae.